UACGGAGGGUGCAAGCGUUAUCCGGAUUCAUUGGGUUUAAAGGGUCCGCAGGCGGGCUUGUAAGUCAGGGGUGAAAGCCGACAGCUUAACUGUCGAACUGCCUUUGAUACUGCAAGUCUUGAGUGAGGUUGAAGUAGCUGGAAUGUGUAGUGUAGCGGUGAAAUGCUUAGAUAUUACACAGAACACCGAUAGCGAAGGCAGGUUACUAAGUCUUAACUGACGCUGAGGGACGAAAGCGUGGGGAGCGAACAGG
RNAcentral lists this ribosomal RNA (253 nucleotides) under uncultured bacterium. Its description in RNAcentral is "partial 16S ribosomal RNA". It matches the Rfam family "Bacterial small subunit ribosomal RNA", at positions 524 to 776 of the family's 1533-position model. The record is from RNAcentral.